GCGGGGUGGAGCAGUCUGGUAGCUCGUCGGGCUCAUAACCCGAAGGUCGUUGGUUCCUGUCUCUUAUA
This 68-nucleotide transfer RNA is filed under the name Acinetobacter baumannii. RNAcentral describes it as "tRNA-Met". Lineage: Bacteria; Pseudomonadati; Pseudomonadota; Gammaproteobacteria; Moraxellales; Moraxellaceae. The record is from RNAcentral.